RNAcentral lists this ribosomal RNA (250 nucleotides) under uncultured bacterium. RNAcentral describes it as "partial 16S ribosomal RNA". It matches the Rfam family "Bacterial small subunit ribosomal RNA", at positions 524 to 773 of the family's 1533-position model. The record is from RNAcentral.
UACGUAGGUGGCGAGCGUUGUCCGGAAUUACUGGGCGUAAAGGAUGCGUAGGCGGAUAUCUAAGUCAGAUGUGAAAUACCCGGGCUUAACUUGGGUGCUGCAUUUGAAACUGGAUGUCUAGAGUGCGGGAGAGGAAAGUGGAAUUCCUAGUGUAGCGGUGAAGUGCGUAGAGAUUAGGAAGAACACCAGUGGCGAAGGCGACUUUCUGGACCGUAACUGACGCUGAGGCUCGAAAGCGUGGGGAGCAAAC